UAAGUAAAAAUUGCAAUGUUAUUCUUGUAAGUUUAACUACUCAACACAUGCUAGUUGUUUUAGAUUUGAAGAUAAAAAGUGAAGUGAAGAAGGGAAAAAAAAAGAACCAAAUAGCUUUUAAGGAGAAGUUAUUGAUAGAAGGGAUAUGGAAUUUAGACAAUAAAGUUGACACUGCAUGGAAGGGAAUGACGAGAUGCUUUAAGAAAGUAGCAAUAGAUAUACUACUAGGUGUAUCUAAAGGUAGAGGACUACGCUCACAAUAGUCUUAGUGGUGGAGUGAGAAGAUACAAAAGGCUAUUAAGAUAAAAAUGAAAAUGGUAUAGAAAGUUAUCGACAACAAAAGAUUUGAGAAAUACAAGUCGGCAAGGAGAGAAGCUAUGAAAGCUGCUAGCGAUGGUUGUGGUAAAUCUCUACCUUAUUUAUAGCAUAAGUUGUGGACAAGCGAGGGGGAGAAGAAGAUGUACAAACUGGCACAGCUGAAGAAAAAGAGGGAUAAAUGAAGAAAAUGGCUGCAUUUGCCAAAGAGUGUAUGUAGAACAUAUUGGGGAUAAAAUGAAAAAGAUUUUAUUAAGAUGGUUUGUCGUAUCCAGGAUAAAUUUUAACAACCGUCCUUGAA
This 616-nucleotide unclassified non-coding RNA is filed under the name Hevea brasiliensis (rubber tree). The record is from RNAcentral. Lineage: Eukaryota; Viridiplantae; Streptophyta; Magnoliopsida; Malpighiales; Euphorbiaceae.